This is a small nucleolar RNA of Sorex fumeus (smoky shrew), 146 nucleotides long. RefSeq annotates it as small nucleolar RNA SNORA17. The record is from RefSeq and is a predicted model, not a curated record. The transcript has a single exon. NCBI's taxonomy places the organism in Eukaryota, Metazoa, Chordata, Mammalia, Eulipotyphla, Soricidae.
GCUGAACUUGUCACUAUAGAUGUGGCUACCUGGCCACAGUGGUGACAGCAGGGCAGAGCUUGUGGCAAUUUCUACAUUCAGUGUUCAAACUUUUACACUCAGUGUUCAAACCUAUGGGUGCUCAGAAUGGUUUGUAGCCUCACAUU